AGUUUUAAAGAGGACUAUGGCGAUAACUGGAACGUCAGGAUGAAAACCGCUUUCUGAAUACGGGCUGCAUCUGCUUAUUAGAGCUGCAGCUGCUGGCCUAUGCCACAGCCACAGCAAUACUAGAUCUGUACCGAAUCUGUGACCUAUGCCACAGCUUGUGGCAUUGCUGGAUACUUAAACCACUGAGGGAGGUCAGGGAUUGAACCCCCAUCCUCAUGAAUACUAGUUGAGUUCUUUACCCACUAAGCCACAGUGGGAAUGCUUAUCCAUUCUAUAUGUCUAUUCUUUCUAAAUGUAAUAGUUUGCAUCUACUAACCCCAAACUCCCAGUCCCUCUCACCCCCUCCCUCCUUCCCCUUGGCAACCACAAGUCUGUUCUCUGUGUCUGAGUCUUCUACAGGAUUUUUUAAGAGUGCUGUCAAAGUUCUUUAAGAAGCCAGCCUGUUUCAGCUGAGGCUGUUACACUUUCAUAAGCAACCUUCUGGCUGAUUAUGAGAUUUUCAGCUUGUUUGAAAGCUAUUCAUGUGGCUCUAGAGAAGGCAGGCAGACUCCAAAAGGCCGUGGAGAAGAAGCCAGAAUCAGAGCCAGGGGGGUGGCCUUCAUAUACCUCUUUUUCUCUCUUUCACCAUCAUCUAAAUAGCCCUGAAUUUCAGUGCAGUUGAGAGCUGUAAAUUUACAGAGUGUAAGAAAGGGAUCUUGCCCAAUGCCUGCGCAGAGGCUCCUACAGCUCCUGUGAGUGCAGCAGUUCAGGGGAUCAGGGGAAGGGACCAGGACAAGGAUCUGCAGAAACCAGGCGGCAGGAACUGGCUCUUGGGGGAAGGAAGUCAUCUACUCAGUCUCAUCCCUAAUGUAUCCAAGUGCCCAUGUUCCCCCUGAAGGCAGAGCUAUAGGAAACUGCACUGAUCUAUUAGGGCAGGUCUGGGCAGGCUGGCGCGAGUAUCCCCUAGUAAGAGUCAUUUGGAAGCUCUGGUAGCUGGAGGGCCCCUAGAGCCCCAUCAGGCACAUGUGCAAAUGAAGACUGACUGUUGCCCAUUUGAAGCCAUCACAUCCUUGUGACUUGCAGAAGUUGGGCUCCUUCCGCAAUGCAGGCUAUGCAGCCUCUUGGGGCUAGGCCCUAGAUCCACACACCUAAGGGGCUUAGGAGCCUGCUGAAGGGAUUUGCAUUGCACAUGUGCAUGCAGCGUGGUUCAAGGGAGCCAGGGGUCUGGAACAGGGCAAGGUUCCAGGGAGUCUUGGUCAUGGUAUCCAGUUCUUAGAGCAACCUCCUUAUUCUAAGCCCUAACUUCCUCACUGGAGAAUAUUCUCCUUCAAGGCAGAGCUAGUGGAGAAUUGACUGCUUGGCCACCUUGCCUGGUUAUCAUCCCAUAAUAGAAACCUGGGAGCCCUGUUGGGUUGUUGGAGAGACCUGGGUCCCACCAAGCAGCAAGUCCUAAUGGAAACUACCUGUUGUCCAUUUCCAGCUGCCUCAGAGUGAUUGCAGGGCAUUCGCUCCCUCCAUCCUGGAGGCUAUGGACGUAUCGGGGCUGGGCGAUAGCUCCACAGACAACCUGGAGAACCCUGGUUGCUAAAGGUACUGAAAGGGUACCUAUUGCACAUGUGCAUUCAGCAGAGUUCAAGGUAGCCAGGGAUGUGGCACAGAGCAAGGGUUCAGAGAUGUCAGCUCAAAGAUGUGGGUUCUUGGGGAGCAAGGCAUCUGCCUAAUACCAAGCCAUAACCUACCCAAAGAUGCACAUUUCCUUUGGAGGUAAGAGCUAAAGAAACUUGGCUGAGACAAUAAGGUCCUACUGUACAGCACAGGGAACUAUAUCCAGUCUCCUGGGAUAGACCAUGAUGGAAAAGACUAUCAAAAAAAGAAUGUAUGUAUUUGUAUAUGUAUGACUGAGUCACUUUGCUGUAUAGCAGAAAUUGACACGACAUUGUAAAUCAACUAUACUUAAAUAAAAAUAAGAAGAAUUGGAGUUUGCAUUGUGGCUCAGUGGGUUAAGAGCCUGACUAGUAUACAUGACGAUGCAAGUGAUCCUGGCCUCGCUCAGUGGGUUGGUUAAGGAUCCAGAGUUGCCGCAAGCUGUGGUGUAGGUUGAAGAUGUGACUCAGAUGUGGGUAUUGACGUGGUUGUGGCUGGUAUAGACCAGCAUCUGCAGCUCUGAUUUGACCCCUGGUCUGGGAACUUCCAUAUGCCGCAGGUGCAUUCCUAAAAAGAAAAAAAAAUUUUUUUUUGAGGGAAUAAUAAGUCUCUCUCUCAGAGUGAGAGAGAUAGAAAGAAACUUGGCUGCCUUGCUCAGGUGGGACCUGGUGGGAUGGCCCAGACAUCCUCCCAUAAGAAACCCCUGGGAGCCCUGUUUGCUGGAGUAACCUCGAGUCACAUCAAGCGUCAACUCAAAUGGGGUCAAACUGUCGCCAGUUUGCAGAUGCUGCCUCAGAGAGAUUUGCUGGGGCUGGGCUCCUUCCACCCUGGAGGACAGGCAGGCUUUGCAUCGUGGGCCUACUGCACUGACCUGGCUGGCCAAGGCCUUCUGAAGCAAUAUGUAAUGGGCAUGUUCCUACAGCUCAGGUCGGGCAAGCCAGGGAUCUGUAAGAGGGUAAGGGUUGGGAAAAGCCAUAUCUUAGGGAUGGGCUCUUGGGUGAAUAAGGCCUCUACCUAAUUCCAAUUCUUUGGACACUGAAGGGCAAGCCUUGGGUGGAUAGCUUACACUGUUCCAAAUUUACCAUGAUUAAUUAGGUCCUGGAUCCAUGUUCAUGAUGAUAAUAGAUGGAGAUGUUGUGAGCUAUGGUAAGAUAGCUAAAGACCAAAUUGAAAAUGGAGCUCUAUGUUGCUUAAUUUGCCAUAAUAUAUUUCCUGAUUGUUUUUUUUUUUCUUCUUUUAUGGCCUCACGCAUGGCAUAUGUAUGUUCCCGGGGUAGGGGUUAAAUCUGAGUGGCACCUCCAGGCAACACUGGAUCCUUUAACCCACUACACUGGGCUGGGGAUUGAACCCGUGCCUCUACAGCAACCCAAGAGGCUGCAGUUGGAAUCUUAACCAGCUGGGCCAUGUUGGGAACUCCUGUUUCCUGACUUUUAUUUUUAUUUUUUAUUUAUCUUUUUCUUUUUUGGCCGUUCCGUGGCACAUGGAGUUCCUGGGCCAGGGAUCGAACCUGUGUCCCAGUGCUCUCAAGAUGCCUUCAAAUCCCGUUGUGCCACAGCAGGAACUCCUGUCUCCUGAUUUAUAAAGAUAGUUUUACUAAUUUUUUCCCUGAAUUUCAAACUUAGCAUGCUUAUUGUAAAAAAAAAGAAAAUUUCUUUAUGAAAAUUUGUACAAAUGCUCUCCAAGUUCUCACAGUGAACGUGGAUAGGACAACUGGAGAAGGAGGAGACUGAGCACAAACCAGUGUGGCCUGCUUUUUAUUUAGGGGGUUCUGAGCAAACUUCUGGGCAUUGCUAAGGACCAAACUCUUCUUCUACUCCCAGUUCUUCGUUUUCUGGGUCUUGUAAAACAGUGCGUGGGAGGAAAAGGCACCACCAUAUGGGGAUCUGGGCAGACCUAGUUUGAAACUCUGUCCCUCUGUGGCUGUGAUGUACAACUUGGCAUACUUUUGAAAGCUUGCUGUGCUUUUACCUCUGGAGUGGGGAUAACAAUACUUAACUUGUAGGGCUAUUGUAAGGUUAAAAGAAAGAUGAUCCUUAUCAAAUGCCUGGUGCUUGGCAUGUAGUGGCUCUAAAACAGAAGCAAGUGGACCCAGUCUCCUGUCUAAUAUCAGAGUAGGCGCUGGGAUACACAAUUUUAUUUCUGACCACGCCCUCGGCCUUCGGAAGUUCCCAGGCCAGGGAUCAAACCCAUGCCACAGCAGUGACAACCCUGGAUCCUUAACCCAUUGAGCCGCCAGGGAACUCCGGCACUAGGAUAUUACAGAAUUGCCUGGUCCUGAGAUCUGUUGGGAGAAUCGCUGCCCUCCUUCUCUCAGAGCUCCUUAGUGUUUGACCAGGACAGUUCUGUCUCCUCCUCCAUGCGAGGCCCACGUAAAUGCAAUCACUUCCUCACCCAUCCCAGCAGCACUAGGGCUGAGUCAGGAAGAAUUCUCUUCUCCCUUCUACACUCCUCUCCUGCUCUCCAAGAUGUGUACUUGUUUCCCCUUUGGACAUGGCACCCUCCACUUUUUUUUUUUUUUUCCUUUUUUUAAGGGUUGCUCCUGAAGCUAUGGAGGUUCCCAGGCGAGGAGGUCAAAUUGGAGCUGCAGCUGCUGGUCUAAGCCACAGCCACAGCAAUACAUGUUCUGAGCCACAUCUGUGACCUACACCACUGCUCACAGCAACACUGGAUCCUUAACCCCCUGAGGGAGGCAAGAGAUUGAACCCGAUUCCUCAUGGGUGCUAAUUGGGUCCGUAACCCGCUGAGUAGGAACUCCCAACCCCUUCUAUCUUUAACUAAACUGGGUUAUUGCCUAUUUAAAAAUGUGGGGUUUUUUUGGCAUGUAUCUUGGGGAGCAGAAGGCAUCUGAGAGGCACAGUAGAUUUGCCUGGCUCCUCAAGCCAAGAGAUACCUGGUUUCAGUGCUCUCUGCCCUGCAUGUUGCUCCAUUUCAGUGAUCUGUCACACAGUGACUACUCCCUUUGCCACCCUCUGGAAGGGAAGAGCCACCCCCCCCCUUUUUCUUUUUAUGGCUGUACCUAUGGCAUAUGGAAGUUCCCAGGCUAGGGGUUGAAUUGCAGCUACAGCUGCUGACCUACAAUGCAACCACGGCAAUGCAGGAUUCAAGCCACAUCUGUGACCCAUAUCACAGCUCACAGCAACACUGGAUCUUUAACCCACUCAGUGAGGCCAGGGAUUGAACCCGCAUCCUUAUGGAUACUAGUUGGGUUCAUUACCACUGAGCCACGAUGGGAACUGCCGCAAGAGCUCUGUUAAUCUCUUGCAAAGCUAGCCUUGGAAGGUAAGGUGAUGGCUUUAGAAAAACAGAGUUAUUGUAUUUUCAGAGACAGUAUGAGAAUCUAGGGGCAAAGGAAAUAUUCAACCUUCAUUUUUAUUGAGAGAUUAAGUCAAGUAACUUUAAGUUUCGAGAAGGAGGAAUCUAAUUUGGGCAGUUCGAAGUGAUGCUUACAAAGUCUCCCACUAGGGCAGCCCCACCUGGGAACAGGCGGUUUAACCCUCCAAGAGUCAUACAAAAUGAUCUUUUUUGGGGGGAGGGUUGUGUCCGUGUUGAGGGAUUGAACCCACUGCCAUGGCAGCAACCUGAGCCACUGCAAUGGCAACACUGAAUCCUCAACCCACUGUACCAUGAAAGAACUCCCCAAAUGACUGCUAAAAUGAUUGUUAAAAUUUAAUCCCAAAGGUCUUUACUAUCUCUUAUUUUUAUAGGUGGUGUAGUUUUCCUUCUGUAAAAAACACUUUUGAAUUGGCUAAGAAAACAUAACAGGAUUAGAAAAAAUUUAGUAAAAUUAUAAAAAUUGCUUUCACUCUUCUCACUUUGCUUAACUAUUUUUAUUUUUCCAUAUUAUCCUCUUUAUGCAUACACAUAUCUAUUUAAUUGCAAUCAAUUUGAAUAUUAUUUUGAAAGGUCAUAUAUAUAAUUUUAUACUAUGCAAUCUUCCUCAUGUUUUUAUAGAAUUACUAUUGUAAUUUUAAUUUCUGUGUAAUAUUCUUUUUCAUGUAUCGGAAUUUAUUAAGUCAUUAUCAGACUGUUGGACAUAUUUUGCUCAAAUAUUUUUGGGUAUAUAAUAUGUACCUGGGUUGGUGCAAGGCUGACAUUUUUAUGCUGCAAUGUAAAGCUCUGUGCCUAUAUUUUUUUUUAUCUCUUUGUUUCCUCAGGGUAGCUUUCUUGAAGUGGGGUGAUUGUGCUGAAAGUUGUGAAUUUUUUUCUUUUUCUUUUUAGGGCUGCACCUGAGGCACAUGGAGGUUCCCAGGCUAGGGGUCUAAUCAGAGCUGAAGCUGCUGGCCUGCGCCACAGCCACAGAAAUGCCAUCUGAGCUGAGUCUGCUACCUACACCACAGCUCAUGGCAACACUGGAUCCUUAGCCCACUGAAGAUUGCCAGAGAUUGAACCUGCAACCUCAUGGUUCCUAGUCGGAUUCGGGUUUCCACUGCACCAUGAUGGGAACUCCCAUGAAUUUUUUCUGACACUUGUUUUGCAUUAACAGUCCAAAAUGAUUGUACCAAUGUUAUCUUGUGACAAGAAAUAAAUGAGUACACUGAUUUUGCCCUAUGCCUACUGGCAUUACGUAUUAUCAUUUUUUUUUACUGUUUUUCCAAAGGCAUCAUUUUUGACGAAACUCUAAAAGCAAGGUUUACUGCCCUGAAGUUGGCUCUUCUCAGGCCAUGCUUAUAAUAAUGACAGUGAGGCCUUAAUUGGGUAACUGUACUGUCUUUUCUUUUUUUACUUGUGGUAUGGAUCUUUUUUUUUUUUUUUCCUUAAGGUGGGGGGAAGUGUUCAGCCAUUGACUCAGAUUCCUAUCAUCCCUUUGCUUUAACACCUCCAACGAGUUCCUUGAAGACAGAACAUAUGAAGGGAGGGGUUAGCUGGUGGUGGUGACAUUAAGUUGCCCGGUGACUCAAAACAGACCAUCACCAAAGCAGGGAGAAGCUGAGUCUGGCACCUGGUGUGUGGGCUUCCCCCACUACUGGUCCUCCCACUCAGGGUGCUGCCUGCAGGAGGAGCUUUGAAAGAACAGAAAAGCAUAUUAUAUUUAAUACCUAGAAAAAAGCGCAAUAGGCAAGGCAGCCUUCUAAAAAUUGCUGAGCUUAAUAGAAAAGGCUUUUGAAAUUGUGUUUAGAUCCAGAAAUCCUUACUCUGUAGAGCAGAUGAUUUGAGAUGAAAAAAAUUAAUCUUGUCUUGUGAUUCUCUUAUUACAUGUAUCUAUGCAUAUUUAUUUCCCUGUGUGUCUCAGAAAGGGUCUGAUGCAAGUUUCCUUUUCUCCAGAGGGAGAAUGGAAAAUUCAAAAAGAGUCAGGCUACUCUCAACCCAGGCAAGGCAGUGGUGAGCUCUGCUGAAGAGAUACGUCGAUAAGAAUUCAGAGCUUUUGCAGAUAACAAUGAGACAUCACAGAGAGCUUCAGGCAGAUAAGCAAGCUAUGGGCACAGAGCAUAUUAAAAAACCCCACUUCUUAAAGAGAUUCUGAAUAUAGGCAUAACUCAGUUUAUUGUGCUUGACUUUAUUGUGCUUUGCGAAUAUUGCAGUUUUUACAAAUAGAAGGUUUGUGGCAACUCUGUGUUGUCAGAUGAUGGUUAGUUUUUUUUUUUUUUGCAAUAAACUUUUAAAAUUAAGGUAUGUGCAUUAUUAGUUAUUUUUUAAAUUUUAUUUUUUUAAAUUGAAGUAUAGUUAAUUUAGUUGUGUUAGUUUCAAUUGUACAAGUUUAAGCAAAGCGAUUCAGUGAUACAUAUAUAUCUAGUAUUCUUCAGAUUCUUUCCCAUUAUAGGUUCUUACAAGAUACUGAGUUUAGUUCCCUGUGCUAUAUAGUAGGUUGGGUAUGUAUCUUGCUUUUUUUAAACAUAGUGCUAAUGCACACUUAAUAAAUUUUAGUAUAGUGUAAACAUAAUUUUUUACAUGCAGGGAGAAACCAAAAAAAUUGUGUGCCUAGGCUUAUUGCAAUAUUCAUUUUAUUGCAGUAUUCAUUUUUUACCAAACCUUCAGUAUCUGUGAGGUAUGCCUGUAUUUUGAAGUGGAGGCGGUGAUCACUUCCUACAGGAAGAAAAAUAUAAGAAAUGAACAUCAUUCUACUUUUCAAAACAGGGCAGAUAAUUUGCAAGCUCAGGGAAGGCUGUGGAUACAGUGUAUUGCUGUUUCUGCUGGCAUUUGGGGAAGAGUGUUCUGUCUUAUCUCGGUGGAGAAGAGUGUAUACUUUUGAUUGGACACUAUCGUUAGAUGUACCCAGACCUGUUGGAACAAAUAGUACCCCUCUUCAAGCCUGUGGGACCAUCUCUGGCUGAGGCAGAGGACUUUAUCCUUGACCUUGUCUUUGUCCUGUUCAAGAGCAUGACUCAUUUGAGGAAAGAAACAUUUUGUAAUCUGGCAGAUGAGACAAAGCUCAAAGCAACCUGGUGAUGGCAGGGCAGAGAUUUGAAAAUAAUUUUAGUGGCCUGGAAUUAGGCUGAAGCUGAAACUAACAUGAUGCAGUUAAAAACUUCAUAGAUUUAAAAAAAAGCAGUUGUUCAAAUAUAGAACAAGAACUGUUCUGGGAAAAGAUCCGGGGGUAAUGAGAUACAGCAGCUGAAGAAGUAAUGGGAAUUCAGAGACAUGCAGGCUUAGAUAAGCGUGAAGACAUUGGCCUCUGGACUCUGGCCCAUGCUUCCCGGCCUGGGAUCCGCUGUGGACUUGCCAUCUGAGGAAGAGACUCAGAGCCCCCAGAAGGAUUAGGAGGCUUGAGAGAAAAAAAAACAAAAAAAAAAACAAAAAA
RNAcentral lists this long non-coding RNA (8359 nucleotides) under Sus scrofa (pig). Its description in RNAcentral is "lncRNA (ENSSSCG00050057713.1)". The record is from RNAcentral. Lineage: Eukaryota; Metazoa; Chordata; Mammalia; Artiodactyla; Suidae.